AGAACGAACGCUGGCGGCAUGCCUAAUACAUGCAAGUCGAACGAACUCUUCGGAGUUAGUGGCGCACGGGUGCGUAACGCGUGGGAAUCUGCCCCUUGGUUCGGAAUAACAGUUGGAAACGACUGCUAAUACCGGAUGAUGACGAAAGUCCAAAGAUUUAUCGCCAAGGGAUGAGCCCGCGUAGGAUUAGCUAGUUGGUGAGGUAAAGGCUCACCAAGGCAACGAUCCUUAGCUGGUCUGAGAGGAUGAUCAGCCACACUGGGACUGAGACACGGCCCAGACUCCUACGGGAGGCAGCAGUAGGGAAUAGUUGGACAAUGGGACGAAAGCCUGAUCCAGCAAUGCCGCGUGAGUGAUGAAGGCCUUAGGGUUAGUAAGCUUCGUUUACCGAGAUGAUAAUAGACAGUAGUCGGAAGAACUAACGGCCCCGGUACUUAAACCGUCCGUUACGCCCGAAGACCGACGG
Molecule: ribosomal RNA, 466 nt
Filed under: uncultured soil bacterium
Lineage: Bacteria
Description: bacterial SSU rRNA
Rfam family: Bacterial small subunit ribosomal RNA
Source: RNAcentral